This is a non-coding RNA of Chelonoidis abingdonii (Abingdon island giant tortoise), 187 nucleotides long. The record is from RefSeq and is a predicted model, not a curated record. NCBI's taxonomy places the organism in Eukaryota, Metazoa, Chordata, Testudines, Testudinidae.
CAACCAGUUAUGCACCCACCUUAUAGUAGCUCCAUCUAGGUUUUAUUUCCCUAGUUUGUUUAUGAGACGGUCAUGCAAGACAGAAUCAAAAGCUUGACUAAAGUCAAGAUCUACCACGUCUACUGCUUUCCCACUCCCGCAACCCCCCCCCCGCCCCCCCCGCAUCCACAGGGCUUGUUACCUUGUC